AUUGAACGCUGGCGGAAUGCUUUACACAUGCAAGUCGAACGGCAGCACGGGGCAACCUGGUGGCGAGCGGCGAACGGGUGAGUAAUACAUCGGAACGUACCCUGUCGUGGGGGAUAACGAAUCGAAAGAUUCGCUAAUACCGCAUACGACCUUGGACCGGGAGGUUUUAGGUGAAAGCGGGGGAUCUUCGGACCUCGCGCGAAAAGAUGAGCCUAUGUCGGAUUAGCUAGUUGGUGGGGUAAAGGCCUACCAAGGCGACGAUCCGUAGCUGGUCUGAGAGGAUGAUCAGCCACACUGGGACUGAGACACGGCCCAGACUCCUACGGGGGGCAGCAGUUGGGAAUCUUGCGCAAUGGGCGAAAGCCUGACGCAGCGACGCCGCGUGUGGGAUGACGAUUUUCGGAUUGUAAACUUCUUUUCGGGGAGACGAGAAAGGACGGUAUCCCCGGAAUAAGCCACGGCAAACUACGUG
This 472-nucleotide ribosomal RNA is filed under the name uncultured bacterium. Its description in RNAcentral is "bacterial SSU rRNA". It matches the Rfam family "Bacterial small subunit ribosomal RNA", at positions 30 to 507 of the family's 1533-position model. The record is from RNAcentral.